CUUUCUGAGUAUCAGCAUAUUGCCCCCAACAAUCAUUUUACUGACCUCAGAAUGAUGGAAGGCUAAGUCAACCUUCAGCCAAUCAAGAUUGAAGGAAUCAAAUUCCUGGCAAUGUGAGCAGAGUUGGCCUGCAAUACAGCAUUCUAACAACUGCGCUACCACAGCUCUUGAUAGGCUUCAAAAAUGCAGGACAUUUUAUGCUGCUGAGUGUAACUGAGCUGUGAUUGUUCCUGUCAGAAGUACUCCUGAAUAUCUAACCAACUAAACAAAGAAUGGAUACACCUUGACAGAGUCUGCAGGACCUUUUAGAAGUCUCGCUCUGCCAGUAAUGCUUGAUGCAAUGGAAUCAGAUAUGCCAGUGCACAAAUAUUCAAGCAGCAAGACUAAAAUGGUUACAGGUGGAACGUGGGCCCCACAGAGAAGGAACAUGUUUGUGUACAUCGUGAAAACUUGCCACUUUUACUCUCUAUUGGCAUGGAAGGGGAUAUUUUCUACCUCCUCACAGAGAUGAUUGCAGCCAACUACCCUUUGAGAAAGAGUAGCAAGACCAUCUGCUCUAGAAGUAGGAUAAUAGAGGUCAUCUGGGCUUCCAUCCAUGAGUGAUUCAUGUCUAUCAUGGCUGUUCCCAGUAAAGAUCUUAGCCAUCAAAA
Molecule: long non-coding RNA, 650 nt
Organism: Pantherophis guttatus
Lineage: Eukaryota; Metazoa; Chordata; Lepidosauria; Squamata; Colubridae
Source: RefSeq, a predicted model, not a curated record